RNAcentral lists this unclassified non-coding RNA (244 nucleotides) under Helotiales sp. RNAcentral describes it as "partial contains small subunit ribosomal RNA, internal transcribed spacer 1, and 5.8S ribosomal RNA". The stretch from base 1 to 46 matches the Rfam family "Eukaryotic small subunit ribosomal RNA", at positions 1786 to 1831 of the family's 1831-position model. The record is from RNAcentral. Lineage: Eukaryota; Fungi; Ascomycota; Leotiomycetes; Helotiales.
AAGUCGUAACAAGGUCUCCGUAGGUGAACCUGCGGAGGGAUCAUUACAGAGUUCGUGCCCUCGCGGGUAGAUCUCCCACCCUGUGUUAUUGUUACCUGUGUUGCUUUGGCGGGCCGCUAGGCUCCGGCCCGGCUACCGGCCCACGCUGGUACGCGCCCGCCAGAGGACCCCAAACUCUGAAUGUUAGUGUCGUCUGAGUACUAUACAAUAGUUAAAACUUUCAACAACGGAUCUCUUGGUUCUG